This 501-nucleotide ribosomal RNA is filed under the name uncultured bacterium. RNAcentral's name for it is "bacterial SSU rRNA". It matches the Rfam family "Bacterial small subunit ribosomal RNA", at positions 28 to 521 of the family's 1533-position model. The record is from RNAcentral.
GACGAACGCUGGCGGCGUGGAUUAGGCAUGCAAGUCGAACGGUAUCAUCCUUUCGGGGGUGAGAGAGUGGCGAACUGGUGAGUAACACGUAGGUUAUCUACCCUCAAGACGGGGAUAACCCAGGGAAACUUGGGCUAAUACCGGAUGUGAGCAACUUUUAGUUGUUUGAAAGGUGGCGUAAGCUGUCGCUUGGGGAUGAGCCUGCGUCCUAUUAGUUAGUUGGUGAGGUAACGGCUCACCUAGGCAAUGAUAGGUAGGCGGCCUUAACGGGUGGUCGCCCACACUGGGAUUGAGAUACGGCCCAGACUCCUACGGGAGGCAGCAGUCGAGAAUAGUCUACAAUGGUCGGAAGACUGAUAGUGCGACGCCGCGUGAACGAUGAAUCCCUUCGGGGUGUAAAGUUCUUUUAUAUGUGAGCAGUGCUUCUUAUAUUAACAGUAUGGGGAGAGAGAUAUUAGCAUAUGAAUAAGCAACGGCUAACUCCGUGCCAGCAGCCGCGGU